Molecule: unclassified non-coding RNA, 265 nt
Filed under: Hevea brasiliensis (rubber tree)
Lineage: Eukaryota; Viridiplantae; Streptophyta; Magnoliopsida; Malpighiales; Euphorbiaceae
Source: RNAcentral
UGUGCUGUUCGUUUCGUCAUAUUUGUUAAUCGUCUACUCGAUCUCGUCAGACCCAUCAAGGUGUCAGUUCUAUUUCCGUAAUUUGAUCUACUCUGGUGCCUUUCUGAAGAUUUUGGCACUUUACUCUUUGCAUGUUCUGUUGGAUUUUGAGCUUGUUUUAUCUCCUUUAGAUCAUUUAGUGCAGUAGAUACGUGGGGUUAUAAAAUUUUCUGAAGUUUACAUUCAAACCUCAAAAGGGUUUUAUUUUGAAGAUUUGGGCACGGUU